CGCAGGGUGGAGCAGUUGGCAGCUCGUCGGGCUCAUAACCCGAAGGUCGUAGGUUCGAGUCCUACCCCUGCUA
This 73-nucleotide transfer RNA is filed under the name Spirochaetales bacterium. RNAcentral's name for it is "tRNA-Met". It matches the Rfam family "tRNA". Rfam says of the family: Transfer RNA (tRNA) molecules are approximately 80 nucleotides in length. Their secondary structure includes four short double-helical elements and three loops (D, anti-codon, and T loops). Further hydrogen bonds mediate the characteristic L-shaped molecular structure. tRNAs have two regions of fundamental functional importance: the anti-codon, which is responsible for specific mRNA codon recognition, and the 3' end, to which the tRNAs corresponding amino acid is attached (by aminoacyl-tRNA synthetases). tRNAs cope with the degeneracy of the genetic code in two manners: having more than one tRNA (with a specific anti-codon) for a particular amino acid; and 'wobble' base-pairing, i.e. permitting non-standard base-pairing at the 3rd anti-codon position. The record is from RNAcentral. RNAcentral also lists the same sequence under 1 other name. Lineage: Bacteria; Pseudomonadati; Spirochaetota; Spirochaetia; Spirochaetales.